RNAcentral lists this non-coding RNA (801 nucleotides) under Trichius succinctus. Lineage: Eukaryota; Metazoa; Arthropoda; Insecta; Coleoptera; Scarabaeidae. The record is from RNAcentral.
UUAAAAUAAAGUUUUAUUCUAGCUUAAUUGUUUGAUUUUUAAAUUAUUUUAUAUGUAAAUUUUAGUGUAAAUGAGUAAGUUUUAAAUAGACUUAUUAUUUGUUUGUAGUUUUAUAUAUUUGCAAUAUGGAAGUUUAGUAUUUAAAGAAAUUUUGAUUUAGGAAUUUAUAAAAGUAUUGGCUAAAUUUGUGCCAGCAGUCGCGGUUAUACAUGUGAUACAAUUAAACAUUUUUAGUUAUUAAUUAAUUGAGUUUUUAUUUAAUUAAAGUUUAAAUUUAUUAGGUGAAAUUAUUAAGUUUGAUUUAAAUUAAAUAUUAAAAAAUAAAGUUAUGAAAUUUUUGGUUUAAACUAGGAUUAGAUACCCUAUUAUUAAAAAUGUAAAAUUUUAUACUAGAGUAGUAUUAGCUAUGUUCUUGAAAUUCAAAGAAUCUGGCGGUAUUUUAGCCUAUUCAGAGGAACCUGUCCUGUAAUUGAUGGUCCACGAUUAAUUGAACUUAUUUUAGAGGUUUGUAUAUCGUCGUAGUUUGAAUGUUUUAAAAGAAAAUGGAAUGUUCAAGAUUUAAAAUUUUAAAAUAAAUCAGAUCAAGAUACAGCGUAUAAAUAAGAAGAGAUGGGUUACAAUAAAAUUAUUUAAAUGGUUAAGAUAAUUAACAUUGUUUUAUAAAGUGGAUUUGAUAGUAAUAUGAUUUAGUUAAAUUAUAUGAUUAUAGCUCUAAAAUAUGCACAUAUCGCCCGUCACUCCCUCUUUAAAGUGGGAUAAGUCGUAACAAAGUAGGUGUACUGGAAAGUGUACCUAGAAUGA